Long non-coding RNA from Ictidomys tridecemlineatus (thirteen-lined ground squirrel), 2606 nucleotides. RefSeq lists it as uncharacterized. Lineage: Eukaryota; Metazoa; Chordata; Mammalia; Rodentia; Sciuridae. The record is from RefSeq and is a predicted model, not a curated record.
CUUGGCAGCCUACGUCAUGGCACCUGGAGGUGGCGCUUUGGGGUGGCAUGGAGAGUCUGUGUUUGCUUUGAAGUGCCAGUUUGAGACCCGUCAAGGAAGAUUUGAUCAUAACAAGGACACUGGCGUCCGAUCCAGCCCCAUCCCAAAUAAGCCUGUGCUGGGGAGGCUCUGUGCCUUUCUUUAAGUUUCCGGAUCCCUGAGGACUGGGUAUGAAUCAUCACUGUUAACUGUGUUCUCCGAGCUGCAUCUGAAUCCCUGCAAACAAGAGAAAAGACUUUGCACAUGAUCUCAAGGGAAGCAGGACGGCGAGCCUUGCUAACACCUGUGGUGGGUCCUGCAGCAUUGUUUACAUCAUCACCACUGUCCAUCCAUCUCUGAAAUGGAAAUGAUUGGAUCCUGGACACUCCAAUCCCAGGUGUUUCAACGAAAAUGAUAAAGGGACUCGACGCUCUGUGGCAUGUGAGGUAGGAUGGAGGGUAACAGAGACUCUGUGAUGGUGCCUCGUGAGCAGACUCCGGCCAGAUUCCACAGAAGCAGCAUCAGGAGGAGCACCAGGUCCCCCCAUCCCAUCUUGGUCACCUGGUCAUGAUGAUGCCUGCCAGAUUUCUCCACUUAAAUUCUAAAUUUAAAAAUUCCUCAUGUAAAAAAUUAUAAAUGUAAUUUAAAAUUACACUUUUCCUUUGUAAUUUAUUAAUAUUUUCUGAGGUGAUAUUCCUAGAUUAUGUCAAAAUUCCUGUUCCUCAUGAAACCUUCCCCCUCAGAGUUAGCCUCCAUUGAUGACUUCAGAACGAGGCGUAUCUGUGAAGGCUGCCAGACGGUUACCCUCCAUUUCCAUGAUUCCAUUUGCUUUACUAGUUUGACACUCUAUCAGUAGGAAAUCCCUCUCUAUUCAUUUGUUUCAUUUGUUCAUUUAUUUGCUCAUCUUAAUCAAUGUGGACUCACACAUUCCUCUUCUAUUCAUUGGACUGUGAUCCAUUGUUUUCAUUUAUCAUACUUAAAAUUAUCCUUGAUCUGACCAGUGAGAGACCCCAUAUCUUCUGAAAUGUUCCCACCAUUCCCUGAGCAUUUCCUUAUUUUUCGGCACAAGAAGAUGUUCCAGGUUCACCUUGCACUUUCCAAGCCUUCAUCCUGGAAUUAACCAUUCAUUAUUGUUCAAGAAGCCCUGGUUUAUUUUAGUGAAAGAUGGUUUUCAGAGGCCAGUUGCUGGAUGCUUGUUGUAUUUAUUGUUAUGAGGGUGCUGGUGCUUCUAAGCCCUCUCGAUGGACAGAACUAGGAGAUAUGCACACUCAUGUAGAAUAUCACACACUAAUACGUCUAUAAUGAGAGGAUGGAGGGAUGGAUGGAUAGAUAGAUAGAUAGAUAGAUAGAUAGAUAGAUAGAUAGAUAGAUAGAUAGAUAGAUAGUUUGCUGUCCCACGAGCCAAUCAUUUCUAGAAACACCCUCAUUGACCCACCAGGAAGCCUCUCAAUCUUAGGCAUCUUUAAUCCAAUCAAGUCGACAAGUGAGAUGGACCACUACACACCUCCCAUUCCAACAUCAUCUCAGAGCCCCUCUGGCCUCCCCUCUCUGUGCUUAGAAAUCCCUUCUGCAGCAAUGAGAAACCUGGUUUCCCGACCCUCAUUAGAUACUUAUCUAUGCAAUCAAUCCACGGACUUGCUCAGUAUCAGCUCCCCUGCAUGCUCCUGUCCCUCACACCCCUACCACCACCCGUGUGCACUAUCCCCACUUCCCCCCACCAGUCUACCGCCCCCCCAGCCCAGGCUUCUUCAUGGCCCUCCAAGACCCCCUGACUGUCACUGUUUAGCUGCCAUCUUCUGUCUUCCAUGGGGAUGGGAAUGAGAAAGAGGAGGGGUGGCAAUGUUUCCUUCUACCCACAAAGUCUCUCCUCACUCAAGAGCCCCAGGGAUCCAGUCAUGGCCUUCUUCUGCUCAAAACCAUCUAUGACUCUACAUUUUACUCAGAGUGAAAACCAAAGUUCUGACACUGGCCCAGAAGGUCACACUCAAUCUGGGAUCAGUUACCUACUGUCUUCAUCUCUUGCCAUUUUUCCUCUCACUCUGUUUAUUAUCCUUUUUUAAAAAAACUGCACUCCGUCAAGGCACACCUGAUCCUCCUUAUCCAGCCUGUUUUCCAUCACAUCACCAUUUUCCAACACGCUAAGCAAUUUACUUAAGAAUUAUCGGCACUAUUCAUUAUUUGUCCCCUCCCCAUCACUACCGCCAGCAACAGAACAUAAGGUCCUUUGGGCCAGGGAAUUUUGUUCCCACUGGUGCAUCCUAAACACUUAGAAGAGAGCUUUCUGAAAUUCUCUCCCAAAAUUGUUCAAUUAUUGAUUAACUUAAUUGAUUACUUGAGAGUGGGACCCUCCGAGGUGCCCGACUUAAGAGACAAGGAACAUUCUAAGGACUAUGACAAGAUGACUUGCCGUGUAGACCUGUAUUCCCUUGAAAAUAAAACCUUUCUUUUGUCACACAUUAAAGAGAAGUUAGAAGAGAUUUUUGAAAAGAUGUAAAAAUCCAAAGAUUACUGGGAUCCUCAGCAUGAUUUAUUUCACACUUUCUAAUUCUACUUCCCUUAUGGGGUUAGGCCAGAACCUACUCCUGUUA